AGGUGACCUGCGGAAGGUCAUUACUGAGUGAGGGCCCCUCGGGGUCCAACCUCCCACCCGUGUUUAACGAACCUUGUUGCUUCGGCGGGCCCGCCUCACGGCCGCCGGGGGGCAUCCGCCCCCGGGCCCGCGCCCGCCGAAGCCACCUGUGAACGCUGUCUGAAGUAUGCAGUCUGAGACAAUUAUUAAAUUAAUUAAAACUUUCAACAACGGAUCUCUUGGUUCCGGCAUCGAUGAAGAACGCAGCGAAAUGCGAUAACUAAUGUGAAUUGCAGAAUUCAGUGAAUCAUCGAGUCUUUGAACGCACAUUGCGCCCUCUGGUAUUCCGGAGGGCAUGCCUGUCCGAGCGUCAUUGCUGCCCUCCAGCCCGGCUGGUGUGUUGGGCCCCGCCCCCCUUCCCGGGGGGGCGGGCCCGAAAGGCAGCGGCGGCACCGCGUCCGGUCCUCGAGCGUAUGGGGCUUUGUCACCCGCUCUUGUAGGCCCGGCCGGCGUCAGCCGACCCCCUCAAUCUAUUUUUUCAGGUUGACCUCGGAUCAGGUAGGGAUACCCGCUGAACUUAAGCAUAUCAAUAAGCGGAGGAAAAGAAACCAACCGGGAUUGCCCUAGUAACGGCGAGUGAAGCGGCAAGAGCUCAAAUUUGAAAGCUGGCCCCCUCGGGGUCCGCAUUGUAAUUUGCAGAGGAUGCUUCGGGAGCGGUCCCCAUCUAAGUGCCCU
This 714-nucleotide ribosomal RNA is filed under the name fungal sp. RNAcentral describes it as "eukaryotic LSU rRNA". The stretch from base 199 to 352 matches the Rfam family "5.8S ribosomal RNA". Lineage: Eukaryota; Fungi. The record is from RNAcentral.